This 25820-nucleotide long non-coding RNA is filed under the name Citrus sinensis (sweet orange). RNAcentral's name for it is "long non-coding RNA (CSIN_LNC001144)". Lineage: Eukaryota; Viridiplantae; Streptophyta; Magnoliopsida; Sapindales; Rutaceae. The record is from RNAcentral.
UCGUAUUUAGGAAGAAAGCUUGCUUGUGUUGGCUUGAGUAGCUUUCCCGAACUUAAGGUUUUGCACCUGAAAUCAAUGUAUUGGCUAGAUGAGUGGACGAUGGGGGCUGGAGCAAUGCCGAAACUUGAAAGCUUAAUUGUCAACCCAUGUGCUUACUUGAGAAAGCUUCCAGAAGAGCUGUGGUGCAUAAAGAGCUUGCGCAAAUUGAAUUUACAUUGGCCUCAGACAGAGUUGAGACAAACACUACGGACUUUCGAGGAUAUGGAGUGGCGGUAUGACAUCCAGUUAUAUCCUUACGGAAUCUGAUGGAUUGAAUUGGGUGAGUUUUAAUCUUUUCUGAUAACUCAUAUUUUUAUAUGCAUUUUCUUUUUUUUCCCACUUUCUCAAUAGAUUUAUAUUUAUGGUAAAACCUUCAAGGAGGUCAUAAAAAUGCCAAACUAAUUGAGAUUGCUUCUGAUGUCAAAAUUAUGUCUCAGCAUAGACUCAGCUUGGGUGGCAAAACAGAGUGGGAUAGCCACACAUUGCAGCAGAGAAACAAAGAAAGAUCCCCCUUUUAUCAAUCUAAUAAGAACCGUAAAAGCAGAUUUUCAUUUAUUAUUCUUAUUUUCACUUACGUAGGCAAAAUUGGAGAGGGAAACAACGCCAGCCGGACUUUCAGUUUCAAUUUUAAUUCAGCAUUGAUUCAUGAGACAGGGCAUUGUUUUAUUUAGCAGAUUUCGAGGAUUUGCUAUAAACAUGCCAUGGUUGCAAUGUUGUCUACAAACUUGAACUUUUGCACUCCUUUUGCUAUUUUGAAUUUGCUGGUAUGUAUGUGUGUAUUCUGUUUUAAUAUAUAUAUAUAUAUUCUGUUUUAUGCUUAGAAGUAUUCCAUUUAAACCCCCGACUUGCAGGUAUGGUUUGCUAGUCAAAGAAAUAUCAAUUUUCUAGGAAAAAUUCCUCAUUUUAGUUGCUGAUUGCACGUUCAAUUUCGUUCUUAGAAUAUUCGUUCUCAUUAAAAUGAUGCACGCACUGAUGUUUUGAAUCAUAUCAGAGAAUCAUUUGUAUUUAUUGAGAGUCAAUUACAACUGAUGUAGCAGGAUUUUAGGUCAUAUGAGAACAAGCAUGUAGGAAAAAAUUCAUCUAGAAAAUUAGUGCAGCCGCACUUUCAAUCGAAUUGCUAUUAUGAACAACAAUUCAUGAGUAAAUCGUUGUUCAAACUACAGGUAGCUUAUACAAACUUAAAUGGCUUUUGAGUAGAAGCAAUGUCAACGCUAGGAAUUCAAUACAAAAGCAGUCAAGUUCAAGUAGUAAUAUGAUUUAAAAAACUCUCGAUAAGAUAACAAGUAUUAAAUUUUUAAAAUUUCAUUGAAAUAUUUUCAUACAAUCAAUUUAAUUGCGGCCGUCUUCCAAAUGUUUUCAUAUUUUAAAUUGUUGAAUCAUAAUCAACCUCUUUAUCAGCACCACAAAAAAUAUCAUUUCUAAUGCAAACAACUAGGUUAUUGCUUAUCAUUGUCUAAUAGAGCAUAUUAGCAGCUAUCAUAAAAAUAAAAAAAAAAAUUAUUGUCUGAUUUUAAGAUACUUUCAAGUUUGACCCCCUACCUCAAUUGUCAGAGAGGGGAAAAAAAGAGUAAAUAACAUGAAAAGAAAGUAUAUGAAGUCAAAAAAAAGGUUGGGAAUAAGUAAUAUACAAAUGUAAGGCUGCUUCGAUCACAUUUGAAGUUAAUGACAAGCAUAGCUCUUCAUAUUUAAGUAAAUAUAAAAUAGAAUAUUAGCUGUUGAAUAGAUUAUAAGCAUAGAUCUUGACUUUUGAAUUUAAUUACAGAAAUUUUGGUGGAUUGGUGAACAGAAGAAAUCCAUUCGUUCCACCAAUUACAUUGAGGAUUUUAAUGAAUCCCAAUCUCAGGUAACAUGUUAAUGCCAACAGUACUGGCAAGAUAUCAAAUGCGGGAGAUUCGAGACUAUUAGCUUUAAGAGAACCAAUAGAGACUGACAAGUUAGAAAUAACUUGCUAAGUUGAGAAGUACGACUGACAAAAUGAAUAUAGUGGGAAAAUCAAGAUAAGCUAAUAGUUUUCUGUUUCUGCAUCUCUCUUACCGUCUCUGUUAUAUUUGCUUUUAACAACUCAAAUAUUUAGGAUUUAUUUACCAAUUGUUAUUCUACGUCACAAAUACUCUGUUUUUUUUUUCUUUUUUCUUUAAUCGCUCUGUUUUAUACUUUUGACAUAUCUUUUAGGUCUUUAGUCUACCAAAUAAUCAUAAAUAAAGCAUAUAAAAUGUAUUUCUAAUUUCAGAAGGCAUCUAGGACUUUAUUCUCUGCUUUACUUCUAAAUUAAUUAGCCAAAGGAAGUUUGGCUUUCAGCAGAGCACUUUAAAAAGAAAAUGAGAAAUGAGUCAUCUUUAACUAUUAUGCUCAUCCUUAAUGUCUCCACGUUAACAAUUGUAAGGAAGUGAGGACUGUAAAUUUACUUUCUGUCUAUUUAUUCUUUUGAGAAUCGUUUGUAUUUAUUGAGAGUCAACAUACAUACACUUUGUAGUAUAGCCCAGAGAUCUGCGAUCCACUCCCACCAAUACUCGGAGAGAUAUCUAAUGCUAUCCAGAUUCAUAAAAAUGAGCCUCAUUAAAAGCCUAGUGGCGAUAUGAGUUUUUUUCCUCAAGAAAUGUUUCUGUAAAUUGCUUAAAUAUUGGUGGGGAUGCAUAAUUGUAACCCAGUUGAUUAAUUUCUAACACAACUGAUGUAGCAGGAUUUUGGGUCAUACGAGAACAAGCAUGUAGGAAAAACUUCAUCUAGAAAAUUAGUGCAGCCGCACUUUCAAUCAAAUUGCUAUUAUGAACAAGUAUUAAAUUUUUAAAAUUUCAUUGAAAUAUUUUCAUACAAUCAAUUUAAUUGCGGCCGUCUUCCAAAUGUUUUCAUAUUUUAAAUUGUUGAAUCAUAAUCAACCUCUUUAUCAGCACCACAAAAAAUAUCAUUUCUAAUGCAAACAACUAGGUUAUUGCUUAUCAUUGUCUAAUAGAGCAUAUUAGCAGCUAUCAUAAAAAUAAAAAAAAAAAUUAUUGUCUGAUUUUAAGAUACUUUCAAGUUUGACCCCCUACCUCAAUUGUCAGAGAGGGGAAAAAAAGAGUAAAUAACAUGAAAAGAAAGUAUAUGAAGUCAAAAAAAAGGUUGGGAAUAAGUAAUAUACAAAUGUAAGGCUGCUUCGAUCACAUUUGAAGUUAAUGACAAGCAUAGCUCUUCAUAUUUAAGUAAAUAUAAAAUAGAAUAUUAGCUGUUGAAUAGAUUAUAAGCAUAGAUCUUGACUUUUGAAUUUAAUUACAGAAAUUUUGGUGGAUUGGUGAACAGAAGAAAUCCAUUCGUUCCACCAAUUACAUUGAGGAUUUUAAUGAAUCCCAAUCUCAGGUAACAUGUUAAUGCCAACAGUACUGGCAAGAUAUCAAAUGCGGGAGAUUCGAGACUAUUAGCUUUAAGAGAACCAAUAGAGACUGACAAGUUAGAAAUAACUUGCUAAGUUGAGAAGUACGACUGACAAAAUGAAUAUAGUGGGAAAAUCAAGAUAAGCUAAUAGUUUUCUGUUUCUGCAUCUCUCUUACCGUCUCUGUUAUAUUUGCUUUUAACAACUCAAAUAUUUAGGAUUUAUUUACCAAUUGUUAUUCUACGUCACAAAUACUCUGUUUUUUUUUUCUUUUUUCUUUAAUCGCUCUGUUUUAUACUUUUGACAUAUCUUUUAGGUCUUUAGUCUACCAAAUAAUCAUAAAUAAAGCAUAUAAAAUGUAUUUCUAAUUUCAGAAGGCAUCUAGGACUUUAUUCUCUGCUUUACUUCUAAAUUAAUUAGCCAAAGGAAGUUUGGCUUUCAGCAGAGCACUUUAAAAAGAAAAUGAGAAAUGAGUCAUCUUUAACUAUUAUGCUCAUCCUUAAUGUCUCCACGUUAACAAUUGUAAGGAAGUGAGGACUGUAAAUUUACUUUCUGUCUAUUUAUUCUUUUGGCAUAUGUGCACGAAUAUAUAUGUCAGGAAAUUGAAUUGUAUGAUUUUCACGAUGACUCUUAAAUGCACGCAUCCAUAUCUUUCUAUUUUCAAAGAUGGUAAUGGAAAACUGUGUUACUCUCUCUUAACAUUACACUAAUUCUAAAAUACCUAAAAUGUAUAAAUAUAUCUAAUAUAGACUUACUAAGAAAUCAUGUGAGACAUUAAGGAUAUGUUUGGUACCUUUUUGGCAAACUGUUUUUCGUUUUACAAACAAAAAAUACAAAAUUGAAUAGUUCUUGGUUUUCCCUUUUUUUUCAUUAAGUUAGAGAACGUUAAAUUGACGUUUCUCUUAUCUUAUUUCUCAUCGGAUUCCCUCAAAAGUAAAAUUAAUUAUCGGAAAAAAAGACACUUAUACCUCUAGGAUUUAGACAAAUUGUCAUGCAGACCCUCAAAUUUUUAAAAAGAAAUGCCAAAAUUUUUUUUUUAACAGAUGGGGGCUGGAGCAAUGCCAAAACUUGAAAGCUUAAUUGUCAACCCAUGUCUGCUGUACGGCCAAGGCGGAUGUACGGUACAGCAUAAACAAAAUAUCUUCCUAUUAAUAAUAUUAAAAUUAUUUGUAUAAUAUUCAAAAUAAUUUAAACUUUAAUUGAUUUAUUGUAAUAUUAUGUUUCCAUUUAUUAUUAAAAUUACUUUAAUAUGAUAAAAUAUGUAUAACAGAUUGUAAAAUAUAAAAACAGUAUCUUGCUUGUCAACAAAUUUUUUUUUUUUACUCGAAAGCAAAAAUAAAAUUAUGCCAAUAUCAAUUCUUUGACAGAACAACCUUAGCUUUCUGAUGUUUAAUACUACUCUUUCUAAGCCCAAAAAUUCUAAAAUUUUUAAUUAAUUCUGUUACUGGGAUUGCGGCAGUAAUACCAUUGAAGGCAUUUUGAUAUUAAUUUUUUUUAAAGAAAAAUUCUUUAAAUUAAAAAAAGAAACAAUUGAAGAAAUCUGUUCUUCGAGAUUACCUAACAAACAAGAAGUACUUUAUUGUGCUUGAUGAUGUCUUCGAUGACAGUGAGUUAUGGGAUGAUCUGGAAGAACUUCUUCCUAAUAAUCAGAAUGGAAGCAGAGUAUUGAUAUUGGUUGCUGAUCUCGACCUCCUUGCGUCAUUGGAAAUGGAAAACGGAGAGAAGAUUCGGCUAAAUUCAGUGCUCGUUGGAGGACCAUUGAUCAGAUUAAAGCAUGAAGCCUGGCAAUUUUUCAUCCUACACUACGGAAGUGCGCCAUUAGAAAAUUUAUGGAUGAAAAAGUGGUUUUGACAUUUUGAGUCGAACUUGUUCUGUGUGGGAGUUAUCUUUUCACUUGAAAGCCUGCGGCAUCUAUCUGUGUGUCUUCCCUCCAAGCAUUAAGAUAUCUACCAGGCAGUUACGUCAGUUGUGGAUAGCUGAAGGUUUCAUACAAUACAACAGUGAAGAAACUGCCGAACACUACUUGAAAGAACUAAUCCAUCGCGGCUUCUUUCAAGUGAGUAAGAGAAGAGCCGGAGGCACAAUUAAAGCGUGUUAUGUUCCAAGUCUUGUAUAUUAUUCAUUGUUGUUGGUGGCAGAGAAGACGAGAUUUGUCUUGAUGCCUGACAAGGAAGAGGAAUCUUUGGCAAAUGUUAAACGGUGCUUCAUUUUGGAAGAUCUGAUUGAGUUCAUUUUUUUAGAACAGUCUGGCAUGUAUCUCCAGUCUUUUCUAAAUCACAGUUCAGAAAGCGAUCAUCUCGCUCUGAUAGAUUGCGAGAAUUUUUGUGAAAAGUUCAAAUACCUUCGGUUACUGAACUUGGGUUAUGCAGUUCUCGACCAAUUUCCACUCGGAUUAGAAAAUUUAAUCCUUUUGAAGCAUUUGAAAUUGAAUAUCCCUUCGCUCAAAUGCCUUCCUUCGCUGCUGUGCACUAUUUUAAACCUUCAAACACUAGAAAUGCCAUCUAGCUACGUAGAUCACUCGCUGGAGGAUAUUUGGAUGAUGCAAAAACUCAUGCAUCUAAACUUUGGUUCCAUCACUCUUCCCGCACCUCCAAAAAAUUAUUCUAGCUCUCUGAAAAAUCUCAUUUUCAUAUCAGCUUUAAACCCUAGUAGUUUUACUCCUGAUAUAUUGCGCAGACUACCUAAUGUUCAAACACUUCGGAUAUCUGGAGAUUUGAGUUGCUAUCACUCUGGGGUUUCCAAUAGCCUAUUGGGACUCCACAAACUUGAAUGCUUGAAGCUGGUGAAUGAGAGCAAGCUCUCACGGGUUGUCCUGUCUAAAUACCAGUUUCCUUUAAGUCUAAGCCAUCUGAGCUUAUCAAAUACUGAGCUAAUGCAGGAUCCCAUGCCAAUUAAUAUAUCAAGACUAGUUUGAAAAUCUACUUCUACUAAUAAUAAUAUUUAAGGAGAAAUUAGCUGUCACGUGGCUGCUGUGGAGUCCUAUUCAUCAGGGUAGUUGUUGUUAUAGUCAAAAUAAAUAUUUAGUUUUUAUUUACUUGUAGAAGUGGUCCACUACGUCAGCACUUGUUGCUAUCAUUUAGCUGUGUCUUUGUUAUUUUCUGUUCAAGUCUUUAUAUAAAUUCAUAGUCCAAAGAUUAAAAAAAAAAAAAAAAAAUUCAUAGUCCAAAGAUAAAAAAAAAAAAAAAAAAAGCAACAGAUUAAUUUUCUUCAAAGUUCAUCUAGUAUUGAAGGCCGUGGUCUUCCUCAAAAUAGACCAAGUUCAGUUGUUCGUUCUUUAUUUAGUUGACUACUACAAUAGGGAAACAAAAGAAAAUGAUCCUGAAAGGGCUUGAUUUGUUAUACAUACCAAUUACAAGGUCAGUUAUGUAGGCAUGUAACAAAAUAGUAUCAGAGCAAGGCAUGUAGGAAUCAUGAUUGAAAAGCUUAGAAACCGAAGUAAGCUCCUUGCAGCUUAAUUUAUAGUCAAAUUCAAAUCUUGAACAAUGGUCAUGAACGAAAGAAUAUCAUGAAAUGUGAUAAUCCAAACGAAGGUGCGAAUGGAUAUUGGUAUUAUGGGCUCUGCUUAGACUAUUUACACAUUUAAACAAUAAUCAUCACUAUUUUCGACCACUAUAUCUUCCGAAAAUAAUUUUUGCCAAAAGUCACCAUAUUUGUGAAUUAAAUCUAUUUUAAAAAUAGAUUUAAUCACCAUCAAUUUUGUCACGGUAAGAUAAAGUAGGGAUAGCUAAUAUAUAUAUUCUUUCUAAAAGUCAUGACUUUUCUCUAAACAUUAAUCAUAUUUUUUUUGAGAAAAGUGAGUAAUAAUAAUAUCGUCAGGAGUUUAGAUAAUGCUAUAUGAUCAACUGAUUUAAAAAAAAUACAAUUGAUAUAGCAGCGUCCUAGGUCAUAUGAGGACAAACAUGUAGGAAAGUUCAUCUAGAAAAUUAGUGCAUCCGCAGUUUCAAUCAAAUUGCUAUAUUGAGCAACAAUUAAUGAAUAAAUUUGUUAUUCAACCUAUAUGUAACUAACACAAAUUUUAAUGACCUUCACAUAGCAGCAGUGGAAGUACCCAAUUUUUGAGACUUCACUGAAAUAUUUUCAUUCAAUCAAUUUACAACCAUCUUCCAUAUGCUUUCAUAUUUUAAAAUGUUAAAUGUUAAUCUCACUAUCAACACCACAAAAAAUAUAUCAUUUUUAAUGAAGACAAUUAGGUUAUCAUUUCUAAUAGAGCAUCUUGAGCAGUUAGCUUAAAAAAAUUAAGCAAACUAUUGUAUGAUUUUUAAGAUAUUUUAAGUAAUUUUAUCAACUAUAAAAUCAUCACCUAGUUCAUUAUAAGUGACACAACAUUGGUCAAUGACACAUAACAUUGGAAUUUAAGUUGGUACUCAAUUGUUGGGAUCUCUAAUAUUAUUGGACAUGAUUUAAUGAUCAAAUUCAAAUUUUGCACCGGUGGCCAUGAAUGAAAGAAUAUCAUGAAAGGUGUUAAGAUGCACAUGGAUAUUGGUAUUAGGGAUUAUGUUUAGGAUAUCAAUUAUUCAUACAGAUUUACUCUACAAAAAAUCAUUCCAAAUUUCAUAAUUAUUUUCCCUCUUACUUAUUUCCGAAGUUAUUUUCUUCCUCUUCCUAACGUUUCUCUAAUUCUGAAUCCCUUAACGAUGAGGGGAAAAAGAUUAAGAAAGUCAAACUGAUUAAAGCUAAAUAAAUAAAUAUUAGAAUCCAAAUUUUCCGUGCCCAAAUUCCGUUGAAUAUGAAAUAUAUAAAAUUAGCAAAUUGACUACAUCAAAAAAUUAAAAAAAUCAAAAUUCAUCAUGUAAAAAUCUUAUUUAACUCCUAAUUUCAUUACAAAAUCGUUCACAAGUUAAUUGAUAUCAGUAUUAGGUGAUCAAAGCUCAAGCAUUUUUAAUAAGCAAAGCUCAAAAGAAUUUCAUAAGAAAUCACUUACCAAUGAAAAUCAAUGCAGAGAAACAAUUGAGCUAUUUUCCUAGAGGGUAUAACGAUGAUGACAAUGAGUAGAAUCACUUAAUUAACGUAUUGAAAUAGCAACUUAGUUCAGAUCUACAAUGCCACUUGCUAUAUGAAAACGUAUAUAAUCAUAAUUAAUUAGCGAAAUGUCAAGUUCUAUUUUGACUGUCUUGCUUGGGUCAGGGUUUCUGUAUUCUACCAUUUUGGCAAGAUAUUGGAUGGCAUAAUCAAGUCUGUGAUGCCUCCAUCUCAGGUUAGUGUAAUUAUCGGUGAAGAUUAUAAUACAUAUUCAAUUAUAACAAACGAUUAUUAAAUUACUCCCAUCGAAAGGAUUAGGUUUGUCAUUAUUGACAAUUAAAUUAACAAGAUUCUCAUUUUCUCUCACCGCAUGCAUUGCAAGUUGAAAAGAACAUUGACUUGAGAAAAUACUCUGAUGAUUAAAUUACUCCCAAUAAUCAGAAUGGAAGCAGAGUAUUGAUAUUGGUCACUGAUCCACACCUCCUUACGCUGUCGGAAAUGGAAAACGGAGAGAAGAUUCGGCUUGAUUCAGUGAAAGAUGUUAAGAAAAGAACAAAUGUUCAUCAAUUUAGACAAUAUAAUCAAACAACUAAAAUUUUUUUAGUGAAAUUUCUAUUUAUAAUACCUCUACUAACAAAAUAUCUACUUAAAUAAGUUCUACUAAGCUAUAUUAUUAUGAACCGUAUCGAUUAAAGCAAAUACCAUUGACUUGAGAAAGCACUUUUUGUGUUUCUUUAUAAGUGUGAACAUGUACCAAACAAACUCUUUAUAAAACCAAAAAAGUCUCUUGUUCUGUGUUGGAGUUACCUUUUCACUUGAAAGUCUGCUGCAUUUAUUUGUGUGUUUUCCCUCCAAGUAUUGAGAUAUCUACUAGGCAAUUAUAUCAGUUGUGGGAAGCUGAAGGCUUCAUACCAUACAACAGUGAGGAAACUGCCGAACAUCACUUAAAAGAACUAAUCCAUCGCGGCUUCAUUCAAGUGAGUAAGAGAAGCGCCGGAGGCACGAUUAAAGCGUGUUAUGUUCCAAGUUUUGUAUAUUAUUCAUUGGCUUUGGUGGCAGAGAAGACGGGAUUUGUCCGGACGCCUGACUUCGAAGAGGAAUCAAAUCACAGUUCAGAAAGCGAUCGUCUCGCUCGGAUAGAUUGCGAGAAUUUUUGUAAAAAGUUCAAAUACCUUCGGGUAUUGGACUUGGGUUCUGCAGUUCUCGACCAAUUUCCACCCGGAUUAGAAAAUUUAUUCCUUUUAAAGUAUUUGAAAUUGAAUAUCCCUUCGCUCAAAUGCCUUCCUUCGCAGCUAUGCACCCUUUUAAACCUUCAAACACUAGAAAUGCCAUCUAGCUACAUAGAUCAGUCACCAGAGGAUAUUUGGAUGAUGCAAAAACUCAUGCAUCUAAACUUCGGUUCCAUCACUCUGCCUGCACCGCCAACAAAUUAUUCCAGCUCUUUGAAGAAUCUCAUUUUCGUAUCAGCCUUACACCCUAUUAGUUGCACUCCAGAUAUAUUGGGCAGAUUACCAAAUAUUCAAACUCUUAGAAUAUCUGGAGAUUUGAGCUAUUAUCAAUCUAGGGUUUCCAAAAGCCUAUGCAAACUACAAAAACUUGAAUGGUUGAAGCUGGUGAAUGAAAGCAAGCCCUCACGAAUGGUCCUGUCUGAAUACCAGUUUCCUCCAAGUCUGACCCAUCUGAGCUUAUCAAAUACUGAGCUAAAGGAGGAUCCCAUGCCAACGCUAGAAAAGCUUCCAUACGUUCAAGUGCUGAAACUGAAGCAGAACUCCUAUUUAGGAAGAAAGCUGGCCUGCGUUGGCUCUGGUGGCUUUCCGGAACUUAAGGUUUUGCACCUGAAAUCAAUGUAUUGGCUAGAUGAGUGGACGAUGGGGGCUGGAGCAAUGCCAAAACUUGAAAGCUUAAUUGUCGACCCAUGUGCUUACUUGAGAAAGCUUCCAGAAGAGCUGUGGUGCAUACAGAGCUUGCGCAAAUUGGAUUUACAUUGGCCUCAGACAGAGUUGAGACAGAGGCUACGGACUUUCAAGGAUAUGGAGUGGCGGUAUGACAUCCAGUUAUAUCCUUAUGGAAUCUGAUGGAUUGAAUUGGGUGAGUUUUAAUCUUAUCAGACAACUCAUUCUUUUAUAUGCAAUUUUUUUUUAUGUUUAUCGUAAAACCUACAAGGAGGUCAUAAAAAUGCCAAACUAAUUGAGGUUGCUUCUGAUGUCAAAAUUACGUCUCAACAUAGACUCAGUUUGACUGGCAAAACAGAGUGGGAUAGCCACACAUUGCAGCAGAGAAACAAAGAAAGAUCCCUUUAUAUAUAUCUAAUAAGAACUGUAAAAAGCAGAUUUUAAUUUGUGAUUCUUAUUUCCCUUUACUUAUGUAGGCAAAACUGGAGAGGGAAACAACACCAGCUGGACUUUCAAUUUCAUGAGACGGGGCAUUGUUCUGUUUAGCAGAUUUCAAGGAUUUGCUUUAAUAUGCCAUGGUUGCAAUAUUGUCUACAAACUUGAAUAGUUGCGCUCCUUUUUCUAUUUUGAAUUUGCCGGUAUGUUUGUAGGGGCGUGUGCGUGUGUUUUGAGUUUUGAUUAAUGUAUUAUGCUUCGAUGUACUCCAUUUAAGCCCCGGACUUGCCGGUAUGGUUUGGAUAGCUUUGGACUUGCAUGGUUUGGUUGUUAGAGAAAUGGUUUGCUAGUUAUAGAAAUAUCAAUCUUACUAGGCAAACUACCUCAUGCGUGUACGUUUCUGGCUUCAUUUUAGUUGCUGAUUGCACCUUCAAUUACAUUAGAGUAUAUGGAGUUUGGCCGUACAGCAGCUCUUUCUAAGCCCAAAAAUUCUAAAAUUUUUAAUUAAUUCUGUUACUGGGAUUGCGGCAGUAAUACCAUUGAAGGCAUUUUGAUAUUAAUUUUUUUUAAAGAAAAAUUCUUUAAAUUAAAAAAAGAAACAAUUGAAGAAAUCUGUUCUUCGAGAUUACCUAACAAACAAGAAGUACUUUAUUGUGCUUGAUGAUGUCUUCGAUGACAGUGAGUUAUGGGAUGAUCUGGAAGAACUUCUUCCUAAUAAUCAGAAUGGAAGCAGAGUAUUGAUAUUGGUUGCUGAUCUCGACCUCCUUGCGUCAUUGGAAAUGGAAAACGGAGAGAAGAUUCGGCUAAAUUCAGUGCUCGUUGGAGGACCAUUGAUCAGAUUAAAGCAUGAAGCCUGGCAAUUUUUCAUCCUACACUACGGAAGUUAGGAAAACUACCUCAUGCGUGUACGUUUCUGGCUUCAUUUUAGUUGCUGAUUGCACCUUCAAUUACAUUAGAGUAUAUGGAGUAAAAAAAAAAGUUAAAUUAUUGGCUGAUUUUUAAGAUACUUUCAAGUUUGGCCCAUACCUCAAUUGUCAGAAAGUAUAUGGAGUAAAAAAAAAAAGGUUGGGUGUAAAUAAGUGAUAUACAGAUGUAAGGCUUCUUUGAUCACAUUUGAAGUUAAUUACAAGCACAUCUCUUGAUAUUUAAGUAAAUAAAAAAAUAGAAUAUUGGCUGUUGAAUAGAUAAUAAGCAUAGAUCUUGACUUUUGAAUUUAAUUACAAAAAUUUUGGUGAACAGAAGAAAUCCAUUCGUUCCACCGAUUACAUUGAGGAUUUUAAUGAAUCCCAAUCUUAGGUAACAUGCUAAUGCUAACAGUAAUGGCAAGAUAUCAAAUGCCGGAGAUAAGAGACUAUUAGCUUUAAGCGAACCAACAGAGAUUGACAAGUUAGAAAUAACUUGCUAAGUUGACUGACAAAUAAUAUGAUUAUCCUAAAUAAAUUAGGUUUUAAUUUAACAAGUUUUCAUUUACAAAUGCAUUUUAAUCCAAUGAUUUAUCACAAUGUCCCACCAAAUUGAACAAAGAAAGAACGAUAUAAUACAAUUACAAGUUUCCUAAUUAAGCCAUAUGAUUAUGAAUUAAAGCGAAUACUAUUGACUUGACGAACCACUUUUUGUGUUUCUUUAUAAGUACGUAUUGUUAGAAAAACAAACACAGUGAGUUGUCAAUUUAAAUUGUAGUUAAUUGAAACAACAAUGUAAAUCAGCAAUCGGAAACAACAAAUGAAGAACAGAAGAGAAAUGAAACGGAAUAAGAAACAUAAACCCGAGGCCUGCACAAGGCAGUUUUUUUAAAACAGAUUUACCACCUCUUCGGAGUGCUUAAGGUCUGCUGGUAUCUGUUUCCCAGGAUACAACGGGUAAGAAUUUCCAGUCAAGCACAGGCUGGAAAUUCCGGCGAACCACAACAGGUAACUCGAUCAGAGAAAGACGAAAGAGGAUGAAGGAAAAACAAGUGUGCUUUGUGCUGGUUUUUUCAAGUGUACAAAAAUAGAAGAGGAGAUGCCUUUUUAUAAUCAUGUGAGGAUGUAACAGCUGAUGUGUAUUGAAUUUCCGAAUUCAAUAUGUUUUAUUUAAUUGCUAUAACAGCCAAAUCAAUUCAAUGAAUUGAUUUCCAAAUUGAAUUAAAAUAAACGUGAAUAACAACUAAAAAUAAUUGUAAAAACUAUUACACAUUCUUUGAAUUCAAAACAUGAAACUGUUACAAUAAAAAUUCAAAAGGAAAUUAAAAACGUGCCAAGCUUGCAUGGAUGAUUUUGAGCCGACAUUCGCGUACGCAGGACGCACGGGUUCAACCAAAUUGGUCUUGGAUUUGCACUCCCCCUGCGCACGCGCGUGUGGAGAGAGCCUCUAUCAUUAUAAUUCUUACUCAUGCAUGGUUAAGUGUUUAUAUAUAAACACUAAUUCCUAGGCUUCUUUUUCUCAUGUGGGAUAAGCCUCAUUUCCUUUCAAAUUUCCAACUUUAAGGGUGAACUUUGAGAGACAAUUUCUCAUUCACCCAAGCACCAUUUUGAGAAAAUAAGAUUAUACUAUUGAAGUAUCAACGGAGUAAAAUCCGAACCUCACAAUAUUUUCCACUUUCGUUAAGUGGGACCCACUCAAAAUGUGCCCUAAAAAUAGCAUGUUAUGCUAUUUUUUCAACAAUCCCCCACAUGAAUGAAAAUUGGCAGUAAAAAUAGGAAAACCGCUAAAUUUUGACAUCAAAACCAUUUUUGACUUUUAAUGAUCGAGUUUAUUGGAUUGAUACCUAGCACAGGAUAGGUAAGUGUUACCCUUUGAACCUUCCCUUGUAAUAGUAUAAUUACUUUACUAGCUGAUCAGUAGACGCGAUGUCUUUGAACUGUUCUACCAUUAGUGUAAACGAUCAUAUACUACACAUAGGUAUUUCUCCUAACAUUGUUGAGUUCUCAUGAUUAUGUUCGUUUUGGCCUUGAACAUCUGCUUGGUUCUGCAAGAGUUUCUAAGAGCUGAACCCUUUAUAGCUCCCUUUGAAGCAGCCCCACUUCUCUCUCACAUAGGUGAUAUCUUAAUUAAGAGUAACCCGCAUUCCUCUGCUCGAAUUUUCGACGCAUAAGAAUCAUUAAGAGCCUAGCUCAACCUUAUCCCCCACGGGCAUCACUGUUUCAUCAUAGGAAUGGUCAAUGAGGUAAUCCUCUCAAGAGAAUGACCCCCACAGUGAUCCAUCUUUAGUCUUUAACAAAUAGGUUGUCCAAUUGAACCUAGAUCUUGGGAUCUCCAGUCUACUAGCUUGGGUUUUCCUUCGUUAUUGACUAAUUAAUCUAUGGGUUUUAAUCUCAUUCCCUUCGAUGAUUUUUCUACUAGCUCUCUAUUUAACCCUUUGGUUAGCGGAUCCGCAAUGCUAUCCUUUGACCUCACAUAGUCAAUAGAAAUAACUCCAGUAGAAAUAAGUUGUCUAAUGGUAUUAUGCCUACGACGUAUGUGUCUAGACUUACCAUUAUACAUAUUGCUUUGUGCCCUACCGAUAGCUGAUUGACUAUCACAAUGUAUACAAAUCGUAGGCACAGGCUUUGGCCACUUUGGAAUACCUUCUAAAAAAUUGCGUAGCCAUUCUGCUUCUUCACCACAUUUAUCUAAUGCAAUGAAUUCAGAUUCCAUUGUAGAUCUAGCAAUUACUGCCUGUUUAGAAGAUCUCCAUGAUACAGCUGCACCUGCUAGUGUAAACACAUAGUCGCUAGUAGAUUUUGAAUCUUUUACAUCUGAUAUCCAGUUAGCAUCACUAAAUCCUUCUAAUACUUCUGGAUACUUAGUAUAGUGCAGUCCAUAAUUACGAGUAUAUCGAAGAUACCUAAAUACACUUACGAUAGCUUUCCAGUGAUCAGUUCCUGGAUUACUCGUAUAUUUACUAAGUUUGGUUACUAUAUAGGCUAGGUUUGGUCUGGUACAAUUUGUUAAAUACAUCAGACUACCUAUUAUUCUAGCAUAUUCAACUUGAGAAAUACCUUCUUCUCUGUUUUUCGAUAGAUGAAUACUAGUAUCUAAUGGAGUUUUAGACAUAGUAUUAUCAUCUUUAUUAAAUUUCCCAAGAAUUUUAUCUACAUAAUGAGUUUGACUUAAAAUAAGUCCAUUAGAAGCCCUUGAGAUUUUAAUUCCCAAAAUGACAUCUGUAAGACCCAUGUCUUUCAUGUCAAACUUAGACUUCAACAUAUUCUUGGUAGAUUUAAUCAUGUCAUCAUCACUCCCAACAAUGAGCAUGUCAUCAACAUAUAAACAUAAAAUGACAUAUCCAUUUUCUGUUUCUUUGACAUAAACACAUUUAUCACACUUGUUGAUCUUAAAGCCACUUGUGAUCAUCAUAUGAUCAAAUUUCUCAUGCCACUGUUUCGGUGCUUGCUUCAAGCCAUAUAAUGACUUUACCAAUUUACAAACUUUCUUUUCUUGUCCUGGAGCUAGAAAACCUUUAGGUUGCUCCAUGUAGAUUUCUUCAUCUAAAUCUCCAUUUAGAAAAGCCGUCUUUACAUCCAUUUGAUGUAUCUCGAGAUUGCGUAAAGCUGCAAUUGCUAUUAUCAUCUGUAUGGAAUUUAUUCUCGCAACAGAAGAAUAAGUAUCAAAGUAAUCAAGGCCUUCUCGUUGCCUAUAACCUUUAAUUACAAGCCUAGCCUUGUACUUAUCGAUUGAUCCAUCGGGUUUCAUUUUCCUUUUGAAAAUCCACUUAUACCCCAAAGGUUUACAUCCUGGAGGAAGAUCUACUAGCUCCCAAGUAUGAUUUUGUAAAAUGGAUUCAACUUCACUGUUAAUGGCUUCUUUCCAUAAAGUGCCUUCAGCUGAAGUUAUAACCUCUUUGAAGUUUUAAGGUUCACUUUCUAGCAAAUACGUCAGAAAGUCUUGACCAAAAGACUUUUCUAUUCUAGCUCUUUUGCUACGUCUAACCUCAAUUUCUUGUUCUUUUUCUUCUUCUGGUGCUUGAUCAUUUUCAAGUGUUGUUUCAUGAAAUUGUCGCAAUUCUCUCGAUUCUACUCUAGAAUUACAAGGAAACACAUGUUCAAAAAACGAUGCAUUUCUUGAUUCUAUUAUCGUAUUUUUGUGGACAUCUGGAACUUUAGACUCAUGCACCAAAAAUCUAUAUGCACUACUGUUUUGUGCAUAACCAAUGAAAAUGCAGUCAACAGUUUUUUGUCCUAUUUUCACUUUUUUAUUUGAAGGAACCACUACUUUAGCAAGAUACCCCCACACUCGUAAGAAUUUAUAUGAAGGUGAUCUACCUUUCCAUAGCUCAUACGGAGUUUUAUCUUCUUGCUUUCGGGGUAUCUUAUUUAAUAAAUAAUUAGCUGACAAAACAGCUUCUCCCCACAUAUUCUGGGGUAACCCAGAACUUAUCAACAUUGCAUUCAUCAUUUCCUUUAAAGUUCGAUUCUUUCGUUCUGCAAUCCCAUUAGAUUGAGGUGAAUAUGGAGUCGUGACUUGAUGUAUGAUUCCAUUUUGUUCACCUGCUGUACGGCCAAGGCGGAUGUACGGUACAGCAGAAAUUUUCUUUUAUGUGGGUGUUNNNNNNNNNNNNNNNNNNNNNNNNNNNNNNNNNNNNNNNNNNNNNNNNNNNNNNNNNNNNNNNNNNNNNNNNNCAAAGCUUCAUCUUUACUUUUCAAUAAAUAUACAUAGCAAUAUUUUGUGCAACCAUCUAUAAAGGUAAUAAAAUAUUUAUUACCACCUCUUGUUUGAAUGGAUUUAAAGUCACAAACAUCACUAUGUAUUAAAUCAAGUGGUUCGGUGUUUCUUUUAAUUAUUUGGAAAAAUGACCUAGUUAGUUUUGCCUCAACACAAGUUUCACACUUAUGUUUCAAAUCAAUUUGGAAAUUGGGAAUAUGCUUCAUGUUAAUUAAUUUACGCAAAGAAUUAAAAUUAACAUGCCCUAAUCUACUAUGCCAAAGAUUAGAAGACUCAAGCAAACAAGCAGAAGAUGUAGCUUUAUUAUUAAUUGUUGGUUUCAGAGUCAUUACAUUGAGCUUAAGUAGCCCAUCAUUAACAUAACCCUUUCCCACAUACAUCCCAUUUUUAGACAAAACUACCCUAUCCGACUCAAACACCAUUCGGAAACCGUGUUUGCUCAGCAGCGAUCCAGACACCAAGUUCUUCUGAAUUUCUAGCACAUAAAGCACAUUGUUCAGAGUCAGUUCUUUCCCUGAUGUCAUCUUCAAAAUCACCUUCCCUUGACCCUCAAUCUCAGACGUAACUGAAUUCCCCAUGAAUAGCUUCUCUUCAUUGCUAACUGGUUCAAAUGAAGUGAACAACCCUUUGUCCGAGCAAACAUGUCUGGUUGCUCCUGUAUCUAUCCACCAUUCUCUUGGAUUAGAGCCAACCAGAUUCACUUCUGAAAUCACUGUAGAGAGGUUUAUGUCUGAAACAUGUUGAGUGAUGUUUUCCACCACAUUCGCCUCUCGCUUCUUUUUAGGCAACCUGCAAUCCGAAGCCUUGUGACCCAUCUUAUCACAAUUAUAACAUUUUCCUUGAAACUUUGUUUGUUUCUUGGAAAUUCCUCCUUUCGGGCCCAAUUUUUUAUUUUUAUUUUUAGGUCCAUGUUCAACAAAAUUUGCCUUUGCCAUAAAAAUAGCCCCUCUUCUUUCUGCAUUUCUGUUGUCUUCCUCAAUUCUGAGCUUAAUAACCAUCCCUUCAAUAUUCAUCUCCUUUCGUUUAUGCUUCAAAUAGCUCUUGAAAUCUUUCCAAGCAGGAGGUAAUUUUUCAAUAAUUGCGGUAACUUGAAAAGUUUCACUUAGAUGCAUCCCUUCCGCAAGGAUUUCAGAUAAUAUAAUUUGAAGUUCUUGUACUUGACUUAUUACAGUUUUAGAAUCUACCAUUUUAUAAUCUAGGAAGCGACCAACAACAAACUUUUUGGUACCCACAUCCUCGGUUUUAUAUUUUCGGUCUAAGGAUUCCCAUAGCUCUUUGGCUGUUUUCUUUCCUAUGUAUACAUUAUACAAGGAGUCACUAAGGCCAUUCAUUACAUAAUUUUUACACAAAAAAUCUGAAUGGUGCCAUGCAUCAAUUGCACUUGCAACUUGAAUAUCCGUUUCACCCUCUUUGGGUUUAGAAGCAUCCUCGGUCAAGAACCUCGCAAGGUUCAACGUGGUCAAGUAAAAGAACAUCUUUUGCUGCCAACGUUUGAAAUUUUGGCCAUUGAAUUUUUCAGGCCUUUCCGCAUGAUUGACAGGAAUUGCCACAGAGGCUGGUUCCUUCACAAGAGUUGGUGCAGCAACAGAAGAUGAAACAGGGAUAUACGGAAUAUCAUCAAUGGUUUCAGUUGCCAUCUUAAUGAUAAUAAGGUCUGUUUUAAGAUUGUUAGAAAAACAAACACAGUGAGUUGUCAAUUUAAAUUGCAGUUAAUUGAAACAACAAUGUAAACCAGCAAUCGAAAACAACAAAUGAAGAACAGAAGAGAAGUGAAACGGAAUAAGAAACAUAAACCCGAGGCCUGCACAAGGCAGUUUCCUUAAAACAUAUUUUCCACCUCUUCGGAGUGCUUAAGGUCUGCUGGUAUCUGUUUCCAAGGAUACAACGGGUACGAAUUUCCAGUCAAGCACAGGUUGGAAAUUCCGGCGAACCACAACAGGUAACUCGAUCAGAGAAAGACGAAAGAGGAUGAAGGAAAAACAAGUGUGCUUUGUGCUGGUUUUUUCAAGUGUACAAAAACAAUGAAUUGAUUUCAAAAUUGAAUUAAAAUAAACAUGAAUAACAGCUAAAAAUAAUUGUAAAAGUUGUUACACAUUCUUUGAAUUCAAAACAUGAAACUGUUACAAUAAAAAUUCAAAAGGAAAUUAAAAAUGUGCCAAGCUUACAUGGAUGAUUUUGGGCCGACAUUCGCGUACGCAGGAUGCACACGAGUUCAACCAAAUCGGUCUUGGAUUAUACUAUUGAAGUAUCAACAGAGUAGAAUUCAACAAGUUUUCAUUUACAAAUGCAUUUUAAUCCAAUGAUUUAUCACAAUGUCCCACCAAACUGAACAAAGAAAGAACGAUAUAAUACAAUUACAAGUUUCCUAAUUAAGCUAUAUGAUUAUGAAUUAAAGCGAAUACUAUUGACUUGACGAACCACUUUUUGUGUUUCUUUAUAAGUACGUAUAUGUACCAACAAAAUUCUUCUUAAAACAAAAAAAAAAUCUCUCUUUAAAUUAGUAAAUAUUCAUUUACCAAUAAAUUAAUAAAUUAUUCAUUCAAUAAUAAAUAAAUACUCCUCUAAAAUAAUAUCUUUUCGUAGUCCUAAUAAUAUUAUUUUAUAGAUACUUUCUACAUUUAUUGUGCAAUAAUUAAAAAAAUUUAUAUUUUUUAAAAAUAUAAUUACAAUCCAGAUACAUAUAUAUUUAUAAUACAACUCUGAAAUAUAUCAAGACUAGUUAGAAAAUCUACUUCCACUAAUAAUAUUAUUAAGGAGAAAUUAGCCCUAUUCCACGUUUUUACAAUUUGAUUUAAUAUAAAUUUUGUUCAAGAAAUUUAUCUUUUUUAAGAAAAUAUUUGAUUAACAAAUUAUUAUUAUUAUAGCGAAAAUAAAAAAGCAGCGGCAGAAGAAGGCUCUAACAACAAAAUGAAACAUUUACAUUUUUCAUUUCCCAAAACCCUUCGCUCUCUCACUCAGGACACUCACUGAUGCGCAAGCAAUGGCUCACACUGCCAUCCUCUGCCUCCGCUGGUCAUUACCGGCCAUCGUUGCUCUUUGCCGCUCUCUCUCUGCGGUCGUCCCUGCACUCUCCGCAUCCACUCCUCUCGUAAAUCCCUCCAUUUCAUCGGCAUCGUCAUCACUAAUCUCCUCCUCAUCCUCCUCCAUCAUCCAAUCUCGACUGUGGUUUAUCAACUUCAGGUACAUGUACCUUGAUGUAUGUACCAUCUAAUGCCCUAAAGCAAUUCUAUUAAUCCAUUCAAACAUAAAAAAAAAAUUAUAAUAUAAAAUGGCAAGCUCUCUUUAUUAGAAGAGAAAAUAAAAAUCAAGAAUUUAAGCAUGUCAUUCCUUAAAUCAUUUCCAUCUCUGUCGUUAGUGCAGUGUUACUUACAGGGUCAGGUGUUCUUAAUAAGAUAUUUUCCAAUUGUAAACUGCAUUUAAGACCAAGUUGAAGUAUCUACUAAUUGUCUCCCCUAAACAUAGAAAUCUACUAUGAAUUGUUCUGCUUUUUUACAUGAUGGGCAAGUAUAUGUAGAAACAUGCCUACUUGUUCCUCAACAGAGACUAUACCAUCAGCCUUCAACCCCCAUUUAUACGAAGUAGCUCACAUAAUAAUUCGAAUGUUCUCUUAUCCAUCAUAGUUGAUUCACAUAUUCUAUGUCACUGCCUAAGAUAAUUUCUAGAUAAAUGAGGCGUGUUGCAUGCCUAAUGAAUGUGCGAUUUGCAACUGUAUAUUUUUUGUUUUGUCGACUUUUGUGAUACCAAAGUACAGCAGCCAAUACACACAAACACAAUUGUUGUAAACGUAACUCGUGCAUAAGAGAGAACAAUGUAAUUUCUCUUUCAUCCAUAUCUAGUCAUUGAAGGUAUAUGGUGUGAGCAUAUCAUAUGAAAAUUAAAGUAAGUGAAGUAAAUAUCAACAUAAAGAAUUAUGAUAACUAGACAGAUAAAGAACUCAUUGAGAUACAUUUCAUGUGAACAAGUUAUUAGCUCAGUUCCAAGAAACUUAUAAAGCAACAGUGGCCGUACAGCAGAAAUUAUGAUAUCUAUUUUAAUGUUAUAUUUGUAUUUAUUUUAAAGAUUUUAAAUAAAUCUUUGGAUUAAAAAGAUUUUACAAUUAAAAAAAAUCUUCCUAUCAAUAAUAUUAAAAUUAUUUAUUCAUAAUAUUCAAAAUAAUUGAAAUUUAAAUUUAAAUUUAUUUAUUGUAAUAUUAUGUUUCUAUUUAUUAUUAAAAUUACUUUAAUAUGAUAAAAUAUGCAUCGCAGAUUCUAAAGUAUAAAAAUAUUUUCUUUGCUUGUCAACAAAUGUUUUUUUUCUGAAAACCAAAAUAAAAUUAUGUCAACAUCAAUUCUUCAACACAGCAACAUUUGCUACCCUGCUUUAUGUUUAAUACUACUCUUUCCAUGCCCAAAAAUUCAAAAAUUUUUAAUGGGUCUUGUUACUGGGCUUCCUGCUGUACGGCCAAGGCGGAUGUACGGUACAGCAGUUUUUCAUUUCCCAAAACCCUUCGCUCUCUCACUCAGGACACUCACUGAUGCGCAAGCAAUGGCUCACACUGCCAUCCUCUGCCUCCGCUGGUCAUUACCGGCCAUCGUUGCUCUUUGCCGCUCUCUCUCUGCGGUCGUCCCUGCACUCUCCGCAUCCACUCCUCUCGUAAAUCCCUCCAUUUCAUCGGCAUCGUCAUCACUAAUCUCCUCCUCAUCCUCCUCCAUCAUCCAAUCUCGACUGUGGUUUAUCAACUUCAGGUACAUGUACCUUGAUGUAUGUACCAUCUAAUGCCCUAAAGCAAUUCUAUUAAUCCAUUCAAACAUAAAAAAAAAAUUAUAAUAUAAAAUGGCAAGCUCUCUUUAUUAGAAGAGAAAAUAAAAAUCAAGAAUUUAAGCAUGUCAUUCCUUAAAUCAUUUCCAUCUCUGUCGUUAGUGCAGUGUUACUUACAGGGUCAGGUGUUCUUAAUAAGAUAUUUUCCAAUUGUAAACUGCAUUUAAGACCAAGUUGAAGUAUCUACUAAUUGUCUCCCCUAAACAUAGAAAUCUACUAUGAAUUGUUCUGCUUUUUUACAUGAUGGGCAAGUAUAUGUAGAAACAUGCCUACUUGUUCCUCAACAGAGACUAUACCAUCAGCCUUCAACCCCCAUUUAUACGAAGUAGCUCACAUAAUAAUUCGAAUGUUCUCUUAUCCAUCAUAGUUGAUUCACAUAUUCUAUGUCACUGCCUAAGAUAAUUUCUAGAUAAAUGAGGCGUGUUGCAUGCCUAAUGAAUGUGCUAUUUCCAACUGUAUAUUUUUUGUUUUGUCGACUUUUGUGAUACCAAAGUACAGCAGCCAAUACACACAAACACAAUUGUUGUAAACGUAACUCGUGCAUAAGAGAGAACAAUGUAAUUUCUCUUUCAUCCAUAUCUAGUCAUUGAAGGUAUAUGGUGUGAGCAUAUCAUAUGAAAAUUAAAGUAAGUGAAGUAAAUAUCAACAUAAAGAAUUAUGAUAACUAGACAGAUAAAGAACUCAUUGAGAUACAUUUCAUGUGAACAAGUUAUUAGCUCAGUUCCAAGAAACUUAUAAAGCAACAGUUUUCUUUUCAAAAUAUUUAAGUCUUAUCAACAUAAGAGACAAAGUUUAAUUAUUGUAUUCUUAAAAGCAUAAUGAUAAAGUUCUAUUUAAUAGCUAGAAAUAAAGUAAAUUCACUAUAGACAAGAACAAAUUUCUAGAAUUGCUACCUUUUUUUUCAAAUAAAAGAAAUUCACUAAAGAACAAAAUGACGAGAUCCAACUUUAACCAAAAAGCAAAUCACAUAAGCUAACUAAGAAUCUGCACCAUAUGGCUAGAAAUUGACAGCUGGGUUUGCUAGCUUAUUAACAAUGCCAUUACCGUAUCCCAAAAAAUAAAAGAAAUUCUACAUAAAUGUCUCUUUUCAAUUCAUCCCGAGUUUUAGUCAAAACCCAAAAAAUUUCCUUCAUGAAGCUACUCUUUCCCAUAAACAAAUCCAUAAAAUAAUUCACUCAACACAAACAAUUAACCCUUUCCAAAAAAAAAACACAAACAAUUAACCUCCAAAAUUGAUUUAUAACAUGAAAAUUAAAAUAGAAAAUAAGAAACACUCAACUGCCAUAUAAAACAUGAAAAUUUCAUCCUAUUAAAUAAUUACAACAAAUAAAAAAACAAAUAAACUUAAUUGAAUUUUUUAGUCAAGAUUUGAGGAGAUUCACUGCAUGAACAAAGGAGAUGGAGAGAAAUUUUAGGGCUUUUUUUUGGUUGAAAGCCCAUUUAGUCCCUGUAUUUUAAGAUUAGUGACCAUUUAGUCCUUUUUGGUAGUUUGCAUGUAAUUUUUGACAAUUAAAAAUUAAUAUAAUUUUUUAUUUUUUUAUUUUUAGGGUUAAGUUGGUAAUUUAAUUAUUUUCUUUUUAUUAAUGUCCAAACAAAAAAAUUAUUAUAAAAUGGUAAUAUUGUAAAAGUAAGCCAAAAGAAAUAAAAAGUAACAGUAGGGGUAUAAAUACUUUAACGGAAGGGAUGUUUUGAGAUAUUUUUAAAAAUAUAAGGACAAAAUGGACACUAAUAUUAAAAUAAAAUGACUAAAUAAAUUUUUACCUUUUUUUUUUUUUAUCCUGUGAAUAGCCUAUGGCUAAAUUUUAGAUUAUCCCACGCCCCCUGAUUAUAAAAAUUAAAGUAGUGACAGUUGUAAUGCAUCUUCGCUUUAACAAUUGUGAGUGUGGGCUGUAAAUUUGCUUUCUAUCUAAUUAUGCUUUUGGCAUAUGCGCCUAAAUAUACACGUCAGGAAAUUGAAUUGUAUGAUUUUUACAAUAACUCUUAAAUACAUGGAUCCAUAUCUUUCUAUUUUCAAAAUGGUUGUGGAAAAGUAAAACUGUGUUACUCUCUCUUGGCAUUGGGCUAAUUCUCCGUGAGAAUCUUGAAAUAAAGUUAACUUUUAUAACUAGAGGGAGGACCAACUUCUUUUAUAAUUAAAAUAUUUAAUGUAAUAAAAUGUAUAAAUAUAUUUAAUAUGGGCUUAAUAAGAAGUCAUGUGCGACAUUAAAGGUAUGCUUGGUACCAUUUUUUGGUAAACCAUUUUUUUUUUCAUUUUAUGACAAUACAAAAAUGUAAAACUUAUUUGGUGGAUGCAAAAAAUAUAAAAUUUAAUAGUUAUUGGUUUUUACUUUUUUUCAUAAAGGUAAAAAACAUUAAAUUGAGGUUCUUUUACCAUAUUUCUCAUUGAAUUCCCUCAAAAGUGAAAUAAAUCAUUAGAAAAAGGACACAUACAUCCUUAAAAUUUGAAAAAUUUGUUAUGCAAACUCUUAAAUAUAAUAUAAUACCCUUUGGAUAUAGAAACUAGAAAAUUGACUUUAAAAGGUUUUAAUCAAUACAAAUAUAAUAUAAAUAAUAUAAUUUAUGUAGUAGACUAAUAACAUUAAAAUAUUUUUAAUAUUUAAAAUAAUAUUAAAAAUUUUAAAUUAUGAUAUCUAUUUUAAUUUUAUAUUUAUAUUUCUGCUGUACGGCCAAGGCGNNNNNNNNNNNNNNNNNNNNNNNNNNNNNNNNNNNNNNNNNNNNNNNNNNNNNNNNNNNNNNNNNNNNNNNNNNNNNNNNNNNNNNNNNNNNNNNNNNNNNNNNNNNNNNNNNNNNNNNNNNNNNNNNNNNNNNNNNNNNNNNNNCAUCCGCCUUGGCCGUACAGCAGUUAAAAGAUUUUAAAUAAAUCUUUGGAUUAAAUAGAUUUUACAAUUAGCAAAAUAUCUUCCUAUCAAUAAUAUUAAAAUUAUUUAUUGAUAAUAUUCCAAAUAAUUUAAAUUUAUUUAUUGUAAUAUUAUGUUUCUAUUUAUUAUUAAAAUUACUUUAAUAUGAUAAAAUAUGCAUCGCAGAUUCUAAAGUAUAAAAAUAUUUUCUUUGCUUGUCAACAAAUGUUUUUUUUCUGAAAACCAAAAUAAAAUUAUGUCAACAUCAAUUCUUCAACACAGCAACCUUUGCUACCCUGCUUUAUGUUUAAUACUACUCUUUCCAUGCCCAAAAAUUCAAAAAUUUUUAAUGAGUCUUGUUACUGGGCUUCUGGCAGUAAUAACAUUGAAGGCAUUUUGAUUUUAAAUUUCUUUUAAAAGAAAAAUUCUUUAAAUUAAAAAAAGAAAAGAAAAGAAAAAAUUGAUUUAAGAUGAAGGUUGGAUCCCUAUUCUUUUCAGAAGGCACGCGUCUCGAAGAACGUGUAUCACGUGUCUGAGAGAAAAAUGAGCAAUAAUGCCGUAUUUGUGGAAUUUAGCCACUUCGCCAGUUUCUUGGCAUCUUCCUUGCAAAUUCUUCCAUGGUGUUUAAUUUUACACCGCUAACCACUUUGAGAUAGAACUAAUCCUUUCAACAUUUCUUGAAGCAAAUAACAAUACAUCUGGGUGCUACAGACAGAAGGAGAUAUGCUGGACGUCCACCUCCGACUAUUUUGUGAGAGGUUGAAAAGGGUGUUAGCAGGUGAAGAAGGCACGUUGACGUUGCGUGAUUGAUUCAUAGAUCAUUCACCAGAUGAUAUUUGGAGGAAGCAAAAACUCAUGUAUCUAAACUUCGGUUGCAUCAAUCUGCCCGCACCUCAAAAAAAUUAUUGCAGCUCUCUGAAAAAUCUCAUUUUCUUAUCAGCCUUACACCCUAGCAGUUGCACUCCAGCUAUAUUGGGCAGACUACCAAAUGUCCAAAGUCUAAGAAUAUCUGGAGAUUUGAGUUACUAUCAAUCUGGGGUUUCCAAAAGCCUAUGCGAACUGGACAAACUUGAAUGCUUGAAGCUGGUGAAUGAGAGCAAGCGCUCACGGAUUGUCCUGACUGAAUACCAAUUCCUCCAAGUCUAAGCCAUCUGAGCUUAUCGAAUACUGAGCUAAUUGAGGAUCCCAUGCCAAUGCUGGAAAAGCUUCCACGCCUUCAAGUGCUGAAACUGAAGCAGAACUCGUAUUUAGGAAGAAAGCUGGCCUGCGUUGGCUCUGGUGGCUUUCCGGAACUUAAGAUUUUGCACCUGAAGUCAAUGUAUUGGCUAGACGAGUGGACGAUGGGGGCAGGAGCAAUGCCAAAACUUGAAACCUUAAUUGUCAACCCAUGUGCUUACUUGAGAAAGCUUCCAGAAGAGCUAUGGUGCAUAAAGAGCUUGUGCAAAUUGGAUUUACAUUGGCCUCAGACAGAGUUGAGACAAAGACUACGGACUUUCGAGGAUAUGGAGUGGCGGUAUGACAUCCAGUUAUAUCCUUACGGAAUCUGAUAGAUUGAAUUGGGUGACUUUUAAUCUAAUCUGAUAACUCAUACGUCUGUUACUUGCCUCAUUUUAUAUGCAACUUUUUGAUAUGUGCAUACACCUGCCAAUAGUGGCAACAAGAUGGAAAGUGAUAGUGGGCCUAGUGGCAAGAUGGAAGACUUGGUCUAGUUUGUUUGUUCAGUCAUUAAUUGUUGAGUCGGUUAUUGAAUAAGUCUUGGGCAGUAGAGUGAUGCUAUUCUGUUGCCUAUUCUGCAGCAUUUCCUAUUUUUCAGCUUUGUUGUUAUUUUCUCUUCCAUGUAUGGCUAUAUAUAUAGCCUGAAUGAAUUCAAUAAAGGCAAGUAGCUUUAUCACCAAC